GACGAACGCUGGCGGCGUGCUUAACACAUGCAAGUCGAACGGAAAGGCUCCUGCUUGCAGGGGUACUCGAGUGGCGAACGGGUGAGUAACACGUGGGUGAUCUGCCUUGUACUCUGGGAUAAGCUUGGGAAACUGGGUCUAAUACCGGAUAAUAACUGCCUUUAGUGUGGUGGUUGGAAAGUUUUUUCGGUGCAAGAUGAGCUCGCGGCCUAUCAGCUUGUUGGUGGGGUAAUGGCCUACCAAGGCGUCGACGGGUAGCCGGCCUGAGAGGGUGUACGGCCACAUUGGGACUGAGAUACGGCCCAGACUCCUACGGGAGGCAGCAGUGGGGAAUAUUGCACAAUGGGCGGAAGCCUGAUGCAGCGACGCCGCGUGGGGGAUGACGGCCUUCGGGUUGUAAACUCCUUUCGACAGGGACGAAGCUUUUUGUGUCGGUAC
Molecule: ribosomal RNA, 438 nt
Filed under: uncultured bacterium
Lineage: Bacteria
Description: bacterial SSU rRNA
Rfam family: Bacterial small subunit ribosomal RNA
Source: RNAcentral